AGAUAUCCGAUGGAGCGGAAUGGCUCUCUAUCCUGUCGGUCUAGGAGAAGCUCAGAUGUUUUUGAGGCUGCUGAUGAGUCUACUAUUGUCGGAUGCCUUAGGCGCUGAUGCUACAGACGGGAGUCAUCUGCUAUAGAAGCUCGGAUGGAGGCUUUUUGUCGGUGAAGUCUGGUAGGAGUCCGGUUGCUAGGGAAGCCCAUCUGAGAUUUGCCUGAUGUGGAAGCUCGUCUGAAGAUUAUCCAUCGGAGAAGUCCGAUUUCAUGAGGGAUCUGACAGAGGAUCAGCUGGUGGUGGACCUCGGAUGGCAUUGGGGAGG
RNAcentral lists this long non-coding RNA (316 nucleotides) under Elaeis guineensis (African oil palm). RNAcentral's name for it is "long non-coding RNA (EGUI_LNC070164)". Lineage: Eukaryota; Viridiplantae; Streptophyta; Magnoliopsida; Arecales; Arecaceae. The record is from RNAcentral.